Molecule: ribosomal RNA, 187 nt
Filed under: Solicoccozyma terrea
Lineage: Eukaryota; Fungi; Basidiomycota; Tremellomycetes; Filobasidiales; Piskurozymaceae
Description: partial 26S ribosomal RNA
Source: RNAcentral
UCUGGCCUCAAAUCAGGUAGGACUACCCGCUGAACUUAAGCAUAUCAAUAAGCGAGAGAAAUUAGUGAAUUAAACAUGCUUGGUGUCUUGCCUUCGGCAGGCCUGCUUAAUAAAUCUACACCNUGAACGUAGACGUAUGAUGAGGUUUGGGCAGUUUCUCGCAUUUUAACAACAUAAUGUACAACGU